GACUUUUGACCGGUAUGUUGUCCACAUACACCUCUAUAUUUCGGCUGAUCUGUUCUUCAAAAAUUUUGGUUUACCAACCAUUGGUAGGUGGCACCUACAUUUUUCAAUCUAAAGAGUAUAACCUUGUAAUAGAAAAGACUAUGAUUAGUAAUAAAAGUAAUUUUCUCCUCAUCUUUAAAUAUCAUUUGGAUUUAGUUAUAGCCGAAGAAGGCAUC
This 215-nucleotide long non-coding RNA is filed under the name Elaeis guineensis (African oil palm). Its description in RNAcentral is "long non-coding RNA (EGUI_LNC029675)". The record is from RNAcentral. Lineage: Eukaryota; Viridiplantae; Streptophyta; Magnoliopsida; Arecales; Arecaceae.